AUCCUUCCCACUGCUCCACGGGCUGCUCGGGAACCCAAUAUCGACCGGAGCCGUCUUCCCAAAUCGCCACCCUACACUGCUUUUCUAGGAAACCUACCCUAUGAUGUUACAGAAGAGUCAAUUAAGGAAUUCUUUCGAGGAUUAAAUAUCAGUGCAGUGCGUUUACCACGUGAACCCAGCAAUCCAGAGAGGUUGAAAGGUUUUGGUUAUGCUGAAUUUGAGGACCUGGAUUCCCUGCUCAGUGCCCUGAGUCUCAAUGAAGAGUGCUUCUGCUAUGCCCAGACGUUCAAGGUCACUCAAGGGAUUUGUGCAUAAUGGGGCAAAAGGUUGGUUAAUAUGGUCCUAUGCUCUCAGUCUCUAGGUAACAGGAGAAUUCGAGUGGACGUUGCUGAUCAAGCACAGGAUAAAGGUAAGGAAACUGGUAGAGAUUUCUGUUUGGUAAUGGUCCUAGGAUGACACCAAGCC
This 465-nucleotide small RNA is filed under the name Pan troglodytes (chimpanzee). Its description in RNAcentral is "retained intron". Lineage: Eukaryota; Metazoa; Chordata; Mammalia; Primates; Hominidae. RNAcentral also lists the same sequence under 1 other name. The record is from RNAcentral.